This 441-nucleotide ribosomal RNA is filed under the name uncultured bacterium. Its description in RNAcentral is "partial 16S ribosomal RNA". It matches the Rfam family "Bacterial small subunit ribosomal RNA", at positions 338 to 795 of the family's 1533-position model. The record is from RNAcentral.
CCUACGGGUGGCAGCAGUGGGGGAUAUUGCACAAUGGGGGAAACCCUGAUGCAGCGACGCCGCGUGGGUGAAGAAGUAUUUCGGUAUGUAAAGCCCUAUCAGCAGGGAAGAAAGAAGACGGUACCUGACUAAGAAGCCCCGGCUAACUACGUGCCAGCAGCCGCGGUAAUACGUAGGGGGCGAGCGUUAUCCGGAUUCACUGGGUGUAAAGGGAGCGUAGACGGCCGUGCAAGCCAGGAGUGAAAGCCCGGGGCCCAACCCCGGGACUGCUCUUGGAACUGUGCGGCUGGAGUGCGGGCGGGGCAGGCGGAAUUCCUGGUGUAGCGGUGAAAUGCGUAGAUAUCAGGAGGAACACCGGCGGCGAAGGCGGCCUGCUGGACCGCGACUGACGUUGAGGCUCGAAAGCGUGGGGAGCGAACAGGAUUAGAUACCCUUGUAGUC